UCUAAUGACGCUGGCGGCAUGCCUUACCAUGCAAGUCGAACGGCAGCGCGGGAGCAAUCCUGGCGGCGAGUGGCAAACGGGUGAGUAAUACAUCGGAACGUGCCCAAUUCUUGGGGGAUAACGCAGCAAAAGCUGUGCUAAUAAUUAUUUACAAUCUACUUAUCCCCUUC
This 170-nucleotide ribosomal RNA is filed under the name Variovorax sp. BTM1. Its description in RNAcentral is "partial 16S ribosomal RNA". It matches the Rfam family "Bacterial small subunit ribosomal RNA", at positions 32 to 194 of the family's 1533-position model. The record is from RNAcentral. Lineage: Bacteria; Pseudomonadati; Pseudomonadota; Betaproteobacteria; Burkholderiales; Comamonadaceae.